RNAcentral lists this long non-coding RNA (42347 nucleotides) under Manihot esculenta (cassava). Its description in RNAcentral is "long non-coding RNA (MESC_LNC003023)". Lineage: Eukaryota; Viridiplantae; Streptophyta; Magnoliopsida; Malpighiales; Euphorbiaceae. The record is from RNAcentral.
UUUUUUUUUCCUAUAUUAACGAAGUUUUAAGUUUUGAACGUAGGGGGAUUUUCUUUUGAGGUUCCUUCUUACAUUUUAAAUUAAAGGGUAAAUUACACAUUAGUUUUUGAGUUUUAGCAUAAUUAACAGAUCGUUCUGCAUUUUUUAAAUCGAACACUUAAAUUUCUCUAUGAUUAGUCUGUCCAAAUUAGAGGUCUCUCGAUCCAUUUUUACCGUUAAAAGUGUGGAAAUGUCUUUAUUACCCUUUUUAAACAUUUUGAUUCUUUACUUUUUUAUUUUAUAAAACACUUACGUUUCUAUUAACUUUUGUCUAUAAUAUUUCAUUUAACUAAUUUUUAAUUUUUUUUGUUUUUCAAUUUUCAUUAUUAAAAUACUCCAAUAUUUAUAACUUCAAAAUUUUUAGAAAACAUUUAUAACUUCAGUUGUUUUUAAGUGGUAUCAAAUAACUUUUAAGUUAUAAAUUUUUAUAAAGAGUAUUUUGAAAAGAAAUUUUCAGAAAAAAUUUGAUAUCCACUAGUUUUGAAUUAAUAUGUAUAAUAAAUGGAAGAAUUGUGAUUUUAGAUGGAUUAAAUAUAGGGGAUUCAAUAAUUUAAUUUUAAAAAUAUAAGAACUGAUUCGUCAAUUACUUAAAAUUUAGAAACGAAAGUGUAGUUUAUACAAUAUAAAAUUACUUACAGGGUUUAAGUGGUUAUGAGGGUAUUUUAGGUAUUUGAACUUUCAUGAGGGUAUUUUAGGUAUUUGAACUGGUUAUUUGAACUUUAACCUGUUGACGAACAGAUUUAUGGAUGAAAGGACCUUCAAUUUAGACAAAUUAAUUAUAUAAGAAUUUAAGCAUUCGAUUUUAAAAAUAUAGGUAGGGAUCUAUGUGUUAAUUACGUUAAAAUUCUGGAAUUAAAGUUUAAUUUAUCUUAAAUUAAAAAAAGACCGAAUCAAAAGCAUUUGCAAUGUAUAAUAGGUUACGACAUUAAUUGAACAACAAAAGCAUUUGCAAUGUAUAAUAGGUUACGACCUUAAUUGAACAACGCGGGUGGCCUAGUUUGUCUCGGGUGCCAUUAUUUGUUGAAAUGAAGUUAAAUUAGUUUGCUCACAAGAACUGCACAACGGCAAUGCCUCUUGUGAAUAUCAACUCGAUAGAACACAUUUUCUUUUCAAGUUUGAGAAUUUCGAUUUUUACAAUUGACAUCAUAUGUAUGGUAUAUGGUUAAUAUUUUUCCUGGGCAGUGCUAAUGUGCUACAGUUGGAUACUUGGAUCUUGCCAUUCCACUAUUUCGCUCCUUUAAAAGAAAGAAAGAAAUUAUUAACAAUUUUUUUUAAAAAAAGAAAUUAUUAACAAUUUUCAUCUUUUUACAUUUUAAUGAUAUUCGUGUUCUGCAGCUCAAUGGAGGGACGAACUUGGUCAAUUUAGGGCUAAAAGGAACUUGAAGAAAUACACAUGAUAGGUGAGAAUAUCAGUACCCCCUUAAUUUUAAUGAAAAAUUCGGCACACGCAUGUUGGAUUGAAUGAAUUUAACGGAGUAUUUGUUCAUGUUUCAGGUAUUCCACGAGAAAUUGUAUAUAGAAACCAUUGUUGGAAGCUGAUGAGGUCAGCUGCGUUCAGCAGUAACCAAUCAUGUUCCUUUCUCUUUCUACCAAUGUGUAUGUAACAGAAUUCGUGGAUAUGUAUAUAAAUAACAUUGCUUAUGCAACAUUUCUGCUUAUUAUUCUGAUCUGGAUGCUGAAGCUUAUUAGCUAUUUAAUUGCACGAUGGGUUCUUGCACUUUGCUGUUCAGUGCUCGAAAUAGAUAUUAUAUUAAUAAUAAUUACUCGAUUAUUUCUUAUUUUGUUUCAUUCAUAAAUUAUUUGUGAAUAAAAUAAUAAUUUUAAUAUUUUCCCUCCAUUUAAUAUUUUUAAAAAAAUUGUGCGUCACCUUUUCCAAUAGUUUCAAGGCAGUGAUUUCAGAAAUACUAGCCGUCUUUCCUUUGAAAUUUCAGCAUACUACUAAGUUUCGUUUUUCUCCCAGGAAAGAUGUUUGGCUAAAGUAUUUUACAAGCGGUUUGUGCUGAUAAAUUAUUUUAAAAUUAUUUUAAAAUUAUAUAUUUAAUUAAAAUGCUUGUACAUUAUUAACCAACGAUUAAUAUAUUUAAUAAAAAAAUGUUUGUAAAUAGCUAUCAUUAAAAUUAUUAAAAAUUAAAUAAAAUACGUGCAAAAUUUGAAAACUAAAUAAGCGCAAUAAAAUAAAAUAUUUAGUUAAACCAAUUAUAAAUUCUGAAAGCGUCAAAAUGAAACGCUAUUUUUUAAUUUAUUUUUUUUUAGCCUUGUAAUUUAUUUUUUUUAAGUUUAUAAGGAAAAAAUAUUAUAACCAAAUUUAAGUUUAUAAGAAAAAAAUAUUAUAAUCAAAUAAAUUUAUUAAUUUUUUUUCUUUAAAAAAAUAUUAAAAAUUAAAAUAAUAGAAUUUAAACCUCUUAAAUUUCUUGAGAUGUACUAAUAUUAGAUUAAAUAGAUGAGUGCUAGUUUCAUUAUUUAUAAACUUAAAAAUCUUCUAAAAAUUAAUACACCUUCUAUUUGAAAAAAAUAAAAUAAUUAAUAUACACACGAAAGAAAUGUAACUACAACGACAUUGAAAAAUCAUUAUCUUUGGGAAAAAAAAAAACAAAAAAACCAAAAACAAAAAAACAAACCGACUAAUCAAUCGAAGAAAGUUAAAAAUAAGUUAACCUUGAUACUACGCACUGGCUAGAAGAUGAAGAUAGCAAAAUUCCCGCCAAGCAAACCUGAACGCAUCCCGUUAUUGACUGCAUGCGGAUGUAGGACCCAUCCGUACCAACCACCGCUGGACAAGAAGAAAGAUCCCAGCCAUUAUUCGGCACCGUCUGUCGGCUUUCUUUUUCCAUCGGUUUACUAUCGAAUCCACCUCAAUCUCCUCUCUCUCUCUCUCUCUCUCUCUCUCUCUCUCUCUCUCUGCUACAGCUUUCUUUUACUCUUCCAGCUGGAGCUGUAGCCAACGAAAGAUCGCUAGAUAUUGAAAAUUGAAUUCUGCAGAUGCGAGAUCCGUAUUAGCAAUUCCGUUUUAUCUUCGGGUGGUCAACUUAUCUUCUUCUUCUUCUACUACUUUUUCUUUUUUUGCUUGUGGCGAUUGUUUUCUUUUCUGUAAUCGCAUUCGAUCUUCAUAGCUGAAAAUCAACAUGUCGGGACCAUUGGAUCGCUUCGCAAGGCCUUGUAAGCGCCUCCUUCUUUGACUCAUUCAAUUCUUCACCGAAUAACUUUCUUUUUCAUCUUCUAUUUUUGUGGAUUUUUAGGGUUCUAAAUUUUCGGUUACUUGUUAGUUAUAGAGUUUGUUUGUUAAGCUUCCUGUUAAUGGUAGUAAAUUAUGCACCGAAAAUUCUUCUGGCAUUUUUGGUAAGCUUAGGUUCCAGUUCAUAUAGCGUAUAAAUUAAUUUAUUAACUCAAAUUGCAAAUGUGGGAACUAUACAUGUCUAAUAAUUCUUGUCCAAGGUAGUGAAGAAUUGAUUCGUAAUCAAUUUUACAUUUGAAUUUGAGUACAAUCUUUCGACCUUCGUCCAUGUUCUGCAGGCUUCGAGGGCUUUUCCGGCAAUGAUGAAAGGAGAGAACGGAAAUCAGAUUUUGAGAACUCGGAGGAUGACAGGAAGACUAGAAUUGGGAAUCUAAAGAGGAAGGCAAUGAAGGCAUCUAAAAAAAUCAGACGUUCUCUCCAUAAAAGGAAGAGCAAAUGUAGUGAAGAGAUUUCAGCGGCAAUUGAGGAUGUUCGGGAUGUUGAAGAGUUGCAGGCUGUGGAUGCAUUUAGACAGGCACUCUAUGCGGAUGACUUGCUUCCUGCUAGACAUGAUGAUUAUCACAUGUUGCUGAGGUGAUUUUCCUUCUCUUCUCAUUUGUUUUAUGAAUGAAAAUACCAGUCGCUGUUGCAUUUUUGCUUUCUUGAAGUUUGUCUUUCACUUGGAUCACUUUUGGGAUUAUGGCAGUGUUUCUAGUUGUUGCUUCUUUUAGUUAUUUGCAAGACUCUACUAUUAAUUGGGGUAAUGACUAAAAAUCCAAACCUCUGACGCUAUUUUCAAUCAAAGUUAAUUCUUUAAUUUGUGCAAAAGAUGAUAAACGUUUCAGCAUCACGUGGUUUCUCAGAUGUUUAAUUGGGAGUCUGAUAUGAACUAUUGGGUUGAUAUUCAAUUAUAGUUAAUAUUCAAUUUGCGUAAAAGCUUACUGAACAUUUUGACGCGUUAUUGAAGUUAACUUAGGAGUUAUAUUUGUUGUUGAAUUAGGAAAGUUAGAUUUUUAUUAUUUGAGAAUUCCAUUAGGUUUACUGUGUAGUUAUUUUUGAGCUUUUUGUUGAUUUGAGAUUUCUUGAUAAUAGGACUAGUUAUUUUGCUAUAAAUACAUAUGUUACCUAGGGAUUUUUCUAGGAAAUUAUUAUGAUUAUGAUUGAGAGUUAAUAAAAGUUUGAGAAUUUCUUUCUCUAGAGAAUGUGUUCCUCACCCCCCUAAUUCCCAGAACUCUCUCGUUCUACAUUACAUUUCGCAAUAUGUGAGGUCGAGUGCUUUCUCUAUUUGUAAGCAUAACAAACAUACCAAGGCUUGCUUAUUAACUCUUCAAGAUGAAAAAAAUUAGUUCCUCACCCCNNCAACAAAGGAAAAAAACACCAUCUGGUGUUAUUUUUCAAAUACCCAUGGCAUGUCUUUAGAUUGCAGUUGUAUACCUGGUAUAACAUUGCAAGUAGUCUUUUAUGAUUUAACAGUUAAAGCUUCAACAUGACUUCAGCUAUCAUCUCUUGCCAUCUUCUUUGUGACUUCCACACAGGCUGUGUAGGAGUUCCAGUUGGAUAGUGAUAACAAUCAUAGUUUUAUUGCUUAUAUUGGUUUUCCUCUCAAAUCUCAAUUAACAGAAUUGCAAUUUAGCUUCUAUGAGUAUAUAAUUUCAUGUUCAAUAUUUAUGAACUUUAUUGUUUUUUAGAUAAGAAUUGGGUAAUUAAAUAUGUUCAUAGUGAAAUUGACAGCUUUUAUUCUUCUAUACAAAAUAAAACAAGUUAUAUCUGCUUGGCUGCAUCAGAUUACUCCCUAUUUAUUCAGCCUCAUGGUCGAGAAUCAACCUUUUUCAGGUUCUUAAAAGCAAGAAAGUUUGAUAUUGAAAAAGCAAAGCAAAUGUGGGCCAAUAUGAUUCAGUGGAGGAAAGACUUCGGCACUGACACAAUUAUGGAGGUAAUAUCAUCUUAUUAUUUCCCUGAACCUAUUGCAAUCUUUGCUACCAUGUCAUGUAUUUCUUGUUACUAUAUUCCUGGCUAUUCCUCAGUUCAGCAGUUCUGCCUUUUAUUCUCUCUCUCUCUCUCUCUCUCUCUCUCUCUCUCUCUCUCUCUCUCAAAAUUAUUAAGUUGAUAUGGUAUUAUUUCCCUUAUGUUGUAAGGUAUCUUUUUUCUUUUCCCAGGAUUUUGAGUUCAAUGAGUUGAAUGAAGUCCUAAAGUACUACCCUCAGUGUUAUCAUGGUGUAGACAAAGAGGGUAGGCCUGUAUACAUUGAAAGACUAGGGAAAGUUGAUCCCAGCAAACUCAUGCAAGUAACCACUAUGGAACGAUAUUUGAAAUAUCAUGUGCAGGAGUUUGAAAAGAGUUUUGCAAUUAAAUUUCCUGCUUGCUCUAUUGCUGCAAAAAGACAUAUAGAUUCAAGUACAACUAUUCUGGAUGUGCAAGGCGUGGUAUGUUCUCUGUUAUUUUUUUUAUUUAUUUAAAUUUUUAACAUUUUAAAUUCUGCUAGGGCAGUAGGGCACCAUUUCAAGUUUGGCAUAGUAGAAUUAUAACUAGUCGUGUAUUUCUUGCUCAAAUGAAUCUGCUCAUUAGGGUUUAAAAAACUUUACCAAGUCCGCACGGGAACUCGUCAUACAGCUGCAAAAGAUUGAUGGUGACAACUACCCUGAGGUAAAAUUGCUUUCAGAUUCUUAAAAGGUUUCUGAGAAUGACAAAUUGACAAUCCUUUUAUUUUGGGAUUCAAAAAUUGAGAGUAUAUCCACCUAAAGUUCCAAAUUUUGCAGACACUUUGCCGAAUGUUUAUAAUAAAUGCUGGUCCUGGCUUUAAGUUGCUUUGGAACACGGUGAAAUCAUUUCUCGAUUCUCAAACAGCUAGCAAGAUUCAUGUGAGUAGUUCUUUUCUCAUUUAUGUUAAAUUAUCUACUAUACUUGAGAAAUCAUUGCAUUGGCUGAUUUUUGAAAUGACCUCAGGUUCUUGGCAACAAGUACCAGAACAAAUUACUUGAAAUAAUAGAUGCAAGGUAAUUAAAUUUUUUAUGAUUUGAUUUUGCUGGUUGUUCCCAUUUUAAUUGUACCAUGUAAAACUUCUGAAGUAUCUUCAAACUCGUCUAGGGAGUUGCCAGAAUUUCUGGGAGGUAGCUGUUCUUGUGCUGAUCAGGGAAGUUGUAUGAGAUCUGACAAGGGGCCAUGGAAAGAUCCAAAUAUUCUAAAGGUUUGUGAUUAUGUUGUAAUUAUUGAUUGUUUUAUUGUAUGACUUUGUUUCACUAUAUCUUUUGCCCUUUCUUGGGUGAAUAUACUGCAUAUUUUUAACCAAUAAGAUUGUUUGUUUGCAUGCAGAUGGUUGAGAACGGUGAAGCACUAUAUUCCAGAGAAAUAGUAACAAUAUCAAACAGUGAAGGAAGGGUGAUUGCUUCUGAUAAGCAACGUUAUUCCAUGGUAUUAUCCUACAGACUUUCUUUCACCACAUAGAGCCUGAUUCUUUUCUUACAAUUAAAACUGAAAUCACAUGUUCUCUGAUGUGGAUUUCAUUCUUCUGCAAUUCAGAUAAAAACUAGUGAUACAUCUACUGCAGAGUCAGGAUCUGAAGUGGAAGAUGUUGCAUCUCCUAAACCAAAUAGGAGCUAUUUGCUCCCAAGUUUGGCUCCUGUCUGCGAAGAAGUAAGAAUUUGUUGACAAUUCAAAGAAUUUAAUACAUGCUGGGAACAUCCAGUUUACUUGGGUUUUAUUUGAGGGUUUCUAUUUUUGUGAGUUUGAAGAGUUAAAAGUUCUCUUGAUUAAAACUGCAGUUUAAUUUGUUGUCUUCUACUUCUUGUGUACUAAUUACUUGAUAAGGUUGCAUGGGUGGCAUGUGGCAUGUCUCGGUGGAAAACUAGAACUUUCUACACUUCAACCAUCUGUUUUUUAGCAAUGGAUGUGAACCUGCCAUGUAUGCAGUUUAGGAGUUUCUGGCCUGUUCUUUUUGAAUUUCUGGACUAUGAAGACAUGCUUGCAGUUGAAAUCACAGAAAAUUACAUCUUUAUAUUUGAUGCAACAAUUCCUUCUUUUUUUAGUAGUAAAGUCUUAUGCCUAGGUAUUGUGGAUGAUCUCCCUUGUAGGUUAAUGAUUUGGUCGUUGGUUGCCAAAAUCAAGACAAUAAUGACUUUAGACAAUUUAAUUAAUAUUCUUUAUUAGAUAAUUCUGUCUCACAAAUUUUCCUUCUGUCUAUUGAUGUGCAUUAAUGAUGCAUGCAUAAUCUUUGAAUUUUUUUCCCUUCACCCAGAAUUCUCAAGUGGUAUCAUGUACUUUUACCCUGAAAUUCUUGUAACAUAUAUUUUUCAGGUUCCAAUUUAUUUUUGAAGUUGAAUCAUCUCCUCAUGUGCAUGCAGUCUUAUUUACUAAUGCAAAGUUUUAGGUAUCUGGAGAAAUGUCAUUAACAGAUUGAUAAAUGCAUAGCUGUGUCACAAAUCAUAUUAUCCGUAUUUCGUGAUAUGUUUGAUAAGAAGUAAAACUUCAUCUAUUCAUUGAUUGCUAUUCUAGGAUGUUAACAGUUCCAAAGUAUGGUGGGGUCUAUCGUCUAUGUAAGUUUUAUUUAAAUUGGUUCAAGUACAAUGACCAGAACCUGUUAAAUUACUUCAACAAAAAUCAAUGGCUAUAUGAGUGCACGCAUAUGUAAUGCGAAGAGAUGCCUGAAUUCAACUCAUUGGUAUAUUUGCUUGGAUGUUUAUACAGGCUAAGGUGAUUGGUAAGGCAAGUGCUGCUGGAGGCUUCUCAGAAUAUGAUGAAUAUGUACCCAUGAUUGACAAGACUGUAGAUGAUGGAUGGAAGAAACAAGUCUCCUUUAAAGAGCCUCGUACGUCCAAAGGUUAUCAAGUUUAAGUGCAGUAGGCUCUGAGCAUUAUGCCCUCUUCAUCUUCUUUUUUUUUUUUAAUGAGAUUGUCCUUGUCUUAAAUGGGAUUUAAUUUUAGUUUUGCUAUGAUAUUAUAUUGGUUGGACACUGAAAAUGUUCAAUAAAAUUCACUGUAGGAACACUGCCUCUACCAAUUGUGGAAAAAACUCCAGAAGGAUUUUUCGCUUGUAUUUGGGCUCUGCUUAUGGCAUUCUUCUUGACUUUACUAUCUGUCAUCCAUUCAUUGCCGAUUUGGGUGACUAAGAAAAACCCUGUGCCUAAUUCUGUCCUUGAUGCCACUGAUCCAACUCUUGAACCAGUGCUUAAGGAGGAGUUUCGUCCCCCUUCUCCUGCUCCAAGAUUUACUCAGGUGGACCUGCUUUCAUCUGUGCUGAAAAGGCUGGGUGAGCUUGAAGAGAAGGUCGACAUGCUACAAGUGAAGCCUUUUCGAAUGCCUUAUGAGAAGGAGGAGCUACUGAAUGCUGCAGUUUGUCGGGUGGAUGCUCUAGAAGCUGAGCUAAUUUCGACAAAGAAGGUAAUCAUGUCUCCUAUUCUCAAAUGGAAGAGACACAUCCUCAAUUCCUUAUCUCAAAGCAAUAAUCAAUAGUCAUUAGAAAAUCUAUCACAAAUAAGUAGAGCAAAUAAUCCUAUGUAUGGAGAGUAUUUGCAAACCUGAUCAAACAAGGUUUAGGAAUCAUGAUUGCAGUUCUAAUUAGGAAUCACAAAUCACAGGUCAAAUAAAACUAAGCUUCUAAAUAAAAUAAACGUCCAUUUCGUAUAUUUUCCUAAAAUAAGUAGUCCUAAAAUCCUUAGAAUUUCCCAUGUCAUAUAGUCAAAUGGUACAAAUUUUUUGUCUGCUUUCUUUAGCUUAUUCAGCAAUUACUGAGGUGCCUAACUGUACAUGUAGUUGUUAGAUGCAUUGAUUCAGAACUCAAUUACCGGGUAGCACGUUGGGCAACUCUUUCCCUGGGCAAAACACGUGGCUAUAAAUGAUCUCAUGAGUGUCAUCUUACUGUGUUCCGUGGAAUUCUCCUAAGGCACUGAAGCAGUGAAUCUCUCUCUCUUCCUGUGUCUCUCUUUCUGCAAAUGUGUUAUUGGAAAAGCAACUAUAUUAUACAUUUAUACUAUCUGUAAUUAGAUUUGGCAUUUAUCAAAAACUAUUUAGGUAGACUAACAAUGGCUUUAGCUGGAGUAAAGUUGUAAAAAUGAUUUUAUAUUACAAUAACUCACAGAAAGCUGAUCUUGAGCAUCAUAUAGAAAAGGGGUCCAUGUAAUUCCCAAGUAGCUAGGUUUGUGAACUUGUCAUGCACACAACUUUUCAAGAGGGAAGUGGGUUGGCGCCAUUGAGUGUUGGCAAUACAUGACCAGUGGUUUUGGGGCCAGACAGUCUCCUCUUUUCCAUAUAAUCAACUGAAUAUUGAGGUCACAGGUGUGAACUUCCAUGGAUGAAUUUGACAAAGGGGAAAAGUACAGUAUCCUUAGGCUCCAUGUUUUGGUAUGCUAAGGGAGUUAUCUUCUUCAGCCCCAUAACAAACCUACUUUUAAGUUUCCUGGAAUUAGCAAUACACAUCACAGCAUUCACUGCAUGCACAGUAAACUGGUAGAAGUGUGUUGGCUACUUUCUAAUACGAAUGUUUUCUACUUGCAGGCUUUGCACGAAGCUUUAAUCAGACAAGAAGAGCUUCUUGCGUAUAUAGAUAGACAAGAGGAAGACAGAUAUCGGGUAAGUUGAACAGUAUAUUCUCGCAAAAAUUUAUGCUGGAUCAUCAAAAUAUUGAUCCAUGUUCUUAUAAAUCCUCUCUCUCUCUCUCUUUUCUAAUGCAGAAAAAGAAGUUUUGCUGGUGAAGAAUAGUUAAGUGCAGAGGAGAAAAUAUUUCCAUCUUCAUUCAUGUCCUUGCCUCGUCUUCCGGAGAAGUGUGGCACGUACAUGGAAUCAGAAUUUACUAUGAAAAUGAUUUAGAAAAAAGGGAAAAAAAAAAGGAGAUUCUUCUCGUAUUGAGCUCAGAAGAUGUAUAUAACUUUGAUGUUCCGAAAUGUGAAACGUUGAUGUAAAUUUACAAAUUACAAUAGAGGAUAAACACUACUGUUGCCGAUCACAAUAAAAUUUGAAACAUUAAUGUAAAUUUACAACUGAUAUUAUAAGAUUCAAUAAAGGGCAGGUUAAAUAUAUAUUUUGGUAAGUUUGAUCUAAUUUACAUUUUUUUUUCUUUUUUGUCAUGUCGAAACUGCAGUUCUGCGUUUACAUUUUAUUAUUGUCACACUAUUUUUUUUUUUUCCUUUUAUCCUUUAGAGACGUAUAACUGCUAUUCUGCAUGUAUAUUCUAUUAUUGUCACGCUGGACUGUACAUACAGAUAUAUUAUAUCAUUUUCUAUUACCAUGCGACCAUUUAAUUUUAUUUUUCUAUUAUUAUGCGAUCAUUUAAUUUUAUUUGACACUUUUAUAUUAUAUUAUUUUUUAUUAUCAUGCGACCAUUUAAUUUUAUUUUUCUAUUACUAUGCGAUCAUUUAAUUUUAUUUAGCACCGUGUGCAUAUGAUCUCGAAUGUUUAAGGUAUAUUGUUUCGCGAAUCCAUGAAAUUGAUUGGAUUGAACCUCUUGCUCGUGGGUCUAAACACUGUCCGGUCUACCUUAGUGAGUCUUAAAUUGUGAGUUGGGGUGCAGGCCAUUCUAAUGGGCCUUGGUAGAGUUACAUCAUGACUUUUUCAAUAUGAACUCGCCCAAACCUAAAUAUACAAAAUCCAAUAUUCAUCAAUAACCAAAGGGUAUGAUUGUCAAUGGGCUUGUAAAUUCUUUUCCCUUGCCCGUUGUUCAUUCUUUAUAUUAAAAAAUAAUCAAUAAUCUAUAAAUAUGAGGUGCAUUAUGUUUUUUUAAUCUACAUGCUAAAGUUAAAGUAAGACAAAUAAAAUUACCUUAUAAGAAAAUAUAAUUAUCUUGUUUAAUAAAUAAACUUUAUUAUUUUUCAUUUCAAAUAUAAUAAAUUUAAUCGAAUAAUUAAAUUUGGCUUAAUUUGUUAAAUUUAAGUAUUAUUUUACAAAAAAAAGGGAUUUCAAUUUCUGCCGUAAACCCAACUGAAAUUUUAUUUUAGAAAAUGAAAUUUUGCUUGCCCACUCUGGGAUAAAAAAUAAUUUGAAUUUCCUAUAAAAAGGUAACGUACAAAAUUAGAACCCAAUAUAUUUUAAAAUCACAAGUCAAACUCUGCUUUUAAAAAGUACUAUAGUCUCUGAUGUUUAUUGUAUUAGCAAAUUAGUCCCUGCUAUUAACUUCCGUUCUAUUUAAUUUUAGAUAAUUUUGUUUUUAAAAUUUUGUUUUCUUAACGAAAUAAUACUUGCAUCUAAAUUUAAUACUCAAUGAUUUUACUAAUAAUGAUUUCAUGUCAAAAUAAAUAAAAUUCCUUUUAAAUUUAAAUUUUAUCCUCACGAAAUUUAAUCCUCAUUCCUAAAUUAAAUUCUAAUUAGCUCUAACUCUUAAAUUAAAUAAAUAUUUUAAUUUUUAUAAUAAAAUACAAGAAAACCAUAAUAAUUUUAUGUUGGAUGAUACCUAAUGAAUCUUUUUAAAAUAAUAUAAUUUAUUUUAUUUUAAAAUUAUAUUUCAUGUUUUUUUUAAUAUAUAGGAAGAACGAUUUUUAAAAGGUGAUAAUUCGACGAGUAUUAGAAGUAUUAUACAAAUCGGCCUGGAUUAAUUUUGCAAUAGCUCUAAAUAGACUCGAAAAUUGUCUCAAAUCACCAAAAGUUGACGUGACAGCUAGAUUAGCCAGUGCAUCCACAACACAAUUUGCUUGUCUAUAAUACGUCUAAACAUCAUCUACAGUUGACGAUAUUGGUACAAUAUAUUAGUAUGACACAAAUUCUUACCUAUGUCGACUUUCAUUAGAUCAAAGACAGCUUUAGGGUCUAUUUCUACUAUUAAUCGUUUGAUCCUCAUGUUUCAUGCUAGCCGGAGACCAAAUAAUACAGCAGAAAACUCCACAUCCAUUGAGAAACAAAUACCCAAAUGAAUGUAAUAACCCUUCAACCAUACUCUACAUCAAUUGCGCAAGAUCCUCCUGCAUAUCUCCCUCUUGGGUUCCCUUUAACUGCCCCAUCUAUGUUUAGUUUAACCCAAUUAGGCAAGGAAGAUUGCCAAGCAAUGUUUACCAACAUUUGGGUACGGUUUGGAGCCCUAUUGCUCUGUGAACACCAAGCUCAGAAAUUCUGUGCUAAUUGUAAUUGAAAACAAUCGAUUUGUUGGCUUAACAAACAACGAAUGCCACAAAGCACAUCUUCAUUCCUCUAUUUUCAUAUCCACCACAAACCUAAAAAUAGGAUCUGUGCAGAAGAUGAAUCAAAAUAUAAACAAUCUCGAAAAAUAUGGGGAAUGUCCUCUACUACUGCUCCAUAGAAGGUACAACUCAUGUCUUGUAAAAAGCUCCGCUUCCAUCUUUCCAUAUUGAUCAUAAAUUUUCCAUGAAUUAAAAUACAAAUGAAACACCGAAUACGUUGAGUUGAACACUCCAAAUCAUUUUCCAAACUGAAUUGAGAGCGGAGGAGGAAAUAUCAUACAAUAAAUCAUGUCAUUUUGAAGGUAAAGUAACCAUUAUGCGUGAGCUUCCAUACUAUUUGAUCCAUAGCACAAAUAUCAGCUAUCAAAAACUUGCCUUCCACCAACUUACAUCCCUCACUAGAUAGAUAUGGUGUGAUUUCAUUCCAAUUUCAAUAAUCAUUCUUCCAAUAUUGAGAGACCAUAGCUUGUUUAUUGGAAGGAGCUUGAUUAAAAAAUCAUGAAGAGGCCCUUUUCCAAUCCAGGUAUCAUUCUAGAAGGAUGUACUCAUUCCAUUACCUAUAGCCAUACAUAAGCCUUUUUCCAAUAAUGGAAAGUUGUUAACACACCUCUUCAGAGCUAGUAGGCUUAAAGACAAACAGCUCCAAAUUUGAAUAUGAGUGAAAAUACUUUCCUUUUAGCACUUGCAGCCAUAAUGCACAAUCUUCUUUCAAAAUCAUCCAUCCCAUCUUGGCCAGAGAUGCCGAAUUCAUUGAUCGACAUGAUUUUAACCCCAAGCUACCCUAGUUCAUUGGUAGACAAAGCUGACUCUAGUUUACAAGAUAAACUCUUUGCCUACCAAGUAUAUCUCCCCAAAUAAAACCCCUAAUUGUUUUAUCAAAUUCAUCACACAUAGAUUUUGAAAUAUAAACUGAUUGCAUCAAAUGAUUAUGAAGCAUAGAAAGGAUAAAUUUGGCUAAUGUUACCCGACUAACAAAAUAAAGCAUUCUCAUUUUUCAACUUGCUAAAUGAUUGUCCAUUUUUACUAGCAGAUCAUUAAAAUAAUGCCUGUUAAUACGUCCAUGCACCAUUGGAAUUCCUAGAUAUUGCCAAAGGAUUCAUCUUCUAAUAUUCUAACAACAGAGCAUGUAGCUUGUCUUUUAACGUCAUCCACAUUGGCUGAAAAAAAGAUUUUUAAUUUUUGAAAAUUCACCCUUUGUUCUGAAGCAAGCUCAAAUACUUCCAAACAAUCCUUAAUUACCAUCAUUUGUUGAACAAAAGUCUCUCUAAACAGUAAGAGAUUAUCAGCAAAGAAUAAAAAAGAGAGAGAAGGACCAUGUCGGCUUAUUCUGAUCGGGCACCAUUCUUCCGAAUUAACAGCUUUAUCAAUCAAGUGGCCCAACCGCUUCAUAGCCAAAAUAAAUAAAUAAGGGGAUAAAGAAUCCCCCUGACGAACCCAACAAGUAAAAGAGAAUUGUUUUGACAUUUGGUUAUCCCAACUAACCCGUAUAUGACAUGACCUGGAGUACUUUAAUAACAGAGAUACAACUUGCCGAAAACUGUGCCUGAGCAAGAGUUUUUAUCAAAAAGUCCCAUCAUAGCCUAUCAUAAGCCUUUUUGAAGUCCAUUUUAAGCACCAUCGAUUGCAUUCUAGAUUUUUUCUUUUGCAUACUAUGAAAUACUUCUUGAAAAAUAACUACAUUAUCAUAUAACUGUCAUUCGGGUAUAAAACUAUUUUGUAUAGGCGCAACUAGUAAUGGUAGAACAAGCUUCAUCCUAUUAACCAAUACUUUGAUAAUUACUUUAAACACAAUAUUACAAAGACUGAUCGAACGAAAAUGAUUGAGUGAUUCUGGUGUUGAAACUUUGGAUAUUAACGUAAUAAGAAUCUCCCUUGCUGAAGACGGAAGAGCAGAUCCCCAUAGUACCGCAAGGACCAUAUUAGUCAGAGAAUCCCUCACCACACUCCACAACUUUUGAAAGAAGCCAGCAUGAAAUCCAUCUAAGCUAGGAGCUUUAAAGGGAUCCAUAGAAAAAAGAGCAUCCUUAAACUCAUAUGACAUAAAAUCCGACUCCAAGCUAAAACGCAAACUAUCAGAUAGGGUUGGAAACUGAUGGUCCAUAGUGGGCAAAUAAGUAGUAUACUUUUUAGCCGUAUACAACUCUUUAUAGAAUCUAAAGGCAAGCAAAUUCAACUCCUGUGGAUUUAUACACCACUUAAAACAAAUACCCCUUUUUUGCACCUUUAAUGACUGCACUAGCAUGAUAAUACGAUGUAUUCCUAUUAUCCUCUAUAAUCCAUUUCUCAUGAGCCUUCUGAAACCAAAUUAGUUCUUCCUAGUCCGAAAGAGAUUAAUACUCAACGUUUAACUUUCGCUCCAGUUUAACGAGCCCAGAAUAAGGUGAAUUCCAACGUGUCCUUUUGGCACCUCUUAUGCGGGCUAAGAUGUAACGACCCGCAAAUCGGACCGCUACCGGCGCUAGGAUCCAGAUCGGCUUAAGGCCGCCGGGACCCGUAGCAAGCCUGACAUAAAACCUGUAUACCUGUAUAAUCCCAUACAUGAUCAACAACAUCCAUAAGAAUUAAAACUUUUCUUUCCAUGAACAUCAACCAAACUCAACCUGUGCAUAAACAUAAACAUAACUUUGAUCCCNNNNNNNNNNNNNNCCUGGGUUUUCCUCCAAUGCUAUUUUCAUGCAAAAACUCAUUUUCUUUCAUACUUCAAACAUAAAACACAUUAAAACCUUUCAUAGAAGCAUGAUUUUACCCUACUAGAGGCUUCCGACACCCGAGAUUCCACCGGACGGUAGGAAUUCCGGUACCGGAGUCUAGCCGGGUAUUACAUAAGAGGCAACAUUUGCGUUUAUGGAUAAAUCCAAAAAUCUCUGUUUUCCACUUAUAAAGUUAUUCUGCAUACAUUCUGAAGCGGUAACCAAAGGAACAUUUGAAUGCCAGCAAUUCGAUACAAAAUCAUUAUAAUCAGGAUAUUUUUGUCGCACAACCUAGAAUCAGAAUGGUGUUGCUUGCCCACUAUUCACUGAAGUUUCUACUAAUAGCAAAAGCGGACAAUAGUUAGAGCAAAUCCGUAAGAGGUGGCACACUCCAACCGUUGGAUAUAGAAGUCUCCAAGAUAAAUUGCACAAAAUUCUAUCCAAUCGGACAGUUCUCACAGUAUUAUCAGAUUUCCCUCACCACUAAGUGAAAGUAGGCCUGAAAAAACCCAAAUCAAUUAAUCUCAUAUUCGAGAUCCAAUCUAGAAACUGCAAACACCAUCCAGAAGCGUGAGCACUACCACUGGUAGUUUCUGAAGGUUCCAGAAAGUCAUUAAAUUCACCUCCCAAAACCCAAAGAGUAGAAAAACUAGUAUUAUAAUCUUAAAUCAAAUACAAACUAAAUUUUAAAUAAAAAAUUAUAAAUAUUUUUAGGGAGAUUUAUAAUUUAGUCCCUAAGUAUUGCCAUUAUUAACAAGUUAGUCCCUGUAUUUUUAGAAAACUAUUAAAACGUCUUUAUCUUUUCUCUCCGUCAACAAAAUAGUCAUUCCGUCUAUUUUUGCCAUUAAAAAUAUAGUAAAAGACUAAAUUACCCCCCAUUAUUUUCCUCCUCCUCCUCCUCUUCCUCCUCCUCCUCCUUCCUUUUCUUCUUCAUCAAUUCUUCCUCCUUCUUCUGCUUCUGCUUCUCCUUCUGCUUCUGCUUCUUCUUCUUCUUCUUCUUCUCCUCCUUCUCCUCCUCCUUCUCCUCCUCCUUCUUCUUCUUCUUUUGCUUCUUUUUCUUAUUUUUCUUCUUUUUCUUCUUUCUCUUCUUCUUCUUCUCCUUCUUCUCCUUUUUCUUCUUUCUCUUCUUCUCCUUCUCCUUCUUCUUCUUCUUCUUCUUCUUUUUCUUCUUUUUUUUCUUCUUUUUCUUCUUCUUCUUCUCCUUCUUCUUCUUCUUCUUCUUCUUCUUUUUCUUCUUUUUUUUUCUUCUUUUUCUUCUUUCUCUUCUUCUUCUUCUCCUUCUUCUUCUUCUUCUUCUUCUCCUUCUUCUUCUUCUUCUCCUUCUCCUUCUCCUUCUUCUUCUUCUUCUUCUUCUUUUUCUUCUUUUUCGGAGGAGGAGGAGGAGGAGGAGGAGAAAAGAAAAGAUAGGGACUAUUUCGUUGACAAAAAAAAACGAUAAGGACAUUUUAAUAGAUGUGAGAAAAGAUAGGGACUAUUUCAUUGACAAACAGAAACGAUAAGGAUAUUUUAAUAAAUUUCUAAAAAUAUAAAGAUGGACAAUUUCGUUGACGGAAAGAAACGAUGAGGAAUGACUAUUUCGUUGAUGGAAAGAAACGAUAAGGACGUUUUAAUAGAUAUAAGGACAUUUUAAUAGAUGUGAGAAAAGAUAGGGACUAUUUCGUUGACAAACAGAAACGAUAAGGACGUUUUAAUAAAUUUCUAAAAAUAUAAGGAGGGACGAUUUCGUUGACAGAAAGAAAUGAUGAGAAAGUACUAUUUCGUUGAUGGAAAGAAAUGAUAAGGACGUUUUAAUAGAUAUGAGAAAAGAUAAUGACUAUUUUAUUGACGAAAAGAAAUGAUAAGGACGUUUUAAUAGAUGUGAAAAAAAAUAAAAAUGUUUUAAUAGAUUUUUGAAAAUGUAAGGACUAACUUGUUAAUAAUAACAAUAUCCAAGGACUAAAUAAAGGAUUUUACUUGAGGGUAAAAUUGGAUUUUAAAAAUUUUCUCUCUCAUCCUUUAUCUAAUUUUAACGGAAAAGAGGACGGAAGGACUAUUUCGUUGACGGAAAGAAAACAUAAGGAUGUUUUAAUAGGUUUCUAAAAAUAUAGGGACUGACUUAUUAAUAAUAACAAUACACAGGGACUAAAUUAUAAAUCUCCCAUACUUUUAUGCCUAAAAUAUAAUAGAAAUAAAAUUAAAAAAGUUUAAUAAAAUUAGUCUAUUGUGGAGUGCAAUUAAUUAAAUAAGCAUAAUUCAGGUAGAUUAGUGAAGAAAAUAGCUUAAGAUAGUGUGAAAAAUGGUAAAGUUUAUGCUUUUGGCAAUUAUUCCUUAAACUAAUCAACAAUUAGCAUUACUUUUUCUUGCUUUUGUUGUUGUACAUGUCUUUAUGCCAGUUCAUUCUCUUUCUAUACAUCAUAUUUUUCUUUCUUGUAUUAUCAUUUAUUCUUAAACUAUUUGGUAUUUAAAAAAUAAACCAAUCUACGCAGCAAUCUAAUUAAUAAAAUCCUAGAAAUGCAUGAAACUAAGACAAAAGCAAAUAAAUUAUUAAAUUUUCAAUUGUAUAAUUUUGGUAAAUAUAUAAAAAAAAUUAUAUAUAUAGUAAAUUAAUAAAAUAUAUGUAAAAUUAAAUUAAUAAAAAUAUGAGAGUCAAGAUAUACGUAAAAGAAUAUGACCUAUAGUGAUCUAUAGUUAAGAUGGGGAAUAGCAUUUCAGGGCGGAUUUCAAUUUAUUAAUGCAAUAAAUUUAUUAAAAAUGUAUUGUAUAUCGAAAAUAAUUCUUUUAAAACAUCAUUUUAAUAAUAUAUAUAUUUUUAUUAAAAAUUACAAUAUUUAUAUAUUUAAAUACAUACAAUAAAUUAAAAUUUUUAAUAAUAAAUAAUUAUUGACUGUUGAUUUAAGCCGCACAUAAAAUCAAUACAUAAUAGAAUCCUCAAAAAAUUUUGAUUAAAUUUGGGGCAGAGUAGAGAAUAAUGAUAACUUACUAUCUAGUAAGAGAGUAUGAUUCUGAAAUACUAUCACAUGGGUAUAAACGAAUUGGAAUCGGUCAUGUUUAGAUUUUGCAAAUGCCAUAGCAUAGCAGCAUUUAAUUACUAUCUAUAUUUUUAUGCAUGUUUAGAUACAUGCAUAAAAAUAUAUGGCCACUAAAAACCAAAAGGGGAGUUCAACUGCACUACUCAACACAUAUGAUAUAAUAAUUUUUUUAUUUGAAAAUAAAAUACGGGUUUCAGAGGGGACAACAACAGAAGGACACGAAGGAGAAGUGAACAGAGGAAAUAGAGUUCCGUGAAUAGAUGUGCUCUCACAAACUACAUUGUUCCAUGGGAGCAACACCAAGGUAGCCAGAGCAACAGUGAACAACAGUGCAUUAACGAGAAGAAGAGAAAAACAUGAAACGGGCUGAAAUACAAGGCCACAAUCCUUUCGAAAAACGGCGUCGUUUUUGCGAAGGGUGGGAAAAGAAUAGAAAGUUAACGAGACAGGUGGAGAAAAGACAUUUAAACUGGGCAGAAAGGAUGGCAUUCAUGUCGCAUGAGAGGGUAGUUUAGGAACUUCAUAGACAUGUGCAUCAGGUAAUAAAUACCCUCGAAAAGAAGACUUUAAAAAAGGAGAUUUAUAUGCACUCAGAGGCUUAAGUUGGUGGUAAGUACAUCUGAGUAAAUCUCUCAUUUCAAAAGAGAUAUUUACAUGCACUCAUAGACUUAAUCUGGUGGUAAGUGUAUCUUAAUAAAUCUGAGAGGUUUUAGAUUCUACUUUCUCAAUUUCCAAUUGACGAUGAUCACAUUUCAUAUAUAUAUCAAAUUUCAUCUCUUAAAUUUAUGACGACGAUCACAUUUUAUAUUCUUAAUACAUAAUAUCAUAACAACCAUUGAGGGGUUUUUAGCCAGACAAUUGAUAUAAUAUAAGGGGCCUCCUCCAUUACUCAAUUAUGGAUUUUUUCUUUUUCACAGUUAGAUGGAGUGUAAAUAACUUUUUUGUUUGUGGUUGCAGCAGCUAUAGGUAUCGGUGGAGGAAGAUGGAUUGCUAUCUUGGGGUUCUUUGCAUGUGUUGUUUUUAUAUUUUUCUAUAGGUUUGGAGACUUACACACUCUGAGCUCUGAUGGAUUGUCAGAAAAGGUGACAAAGUAAUGACUUUUGGAGUUUCGAUCCGGUUUGUCUCCUUUGUUGUUUUUUUUCAAAUUUGGAUCGCCUUUUUUAAUUAAAAGACUAACAAUUAUUUUAAAUUGGAGAUUUAUAUUCUCAUUCUCCAAGAACGGCACUGCGUUUAGAUUGUUAGUUCUCGAGCCUUGAUUAAUAUAGGCUUUUUUACCUAAAUACUUUUUGUUUUAUCUCUGUUUGGAUCAUGAACGCUUUGUAUUGAAGAAGCUGUGUUUGUGGGGUGCUCUAUUGUAAGGCUUAGGCCUUUUCUCCCUAAUAAACAUUAUCUUUGAAUUCAUUUUAACAAAACAUUUUUUUAUCAUAUCUUUGUCAUGGCACACGAUGUCAACAUUUUUAUCUCAAAAUUAUAAUACAACACUGAUAAAUGAGGAGUCACAAUCUUAAAGAAUUAUUCUUUUGUGAACUAUAAAAACAACAUGAGUGGAUAUUCGACUUUUUGUACGAAUGACUUUUCUUUUUUUUUAAGUUUUUAAGAAUAAUUUCACUAAUUAUAUGUUUACUUUAUUCUAUAAAAAUAUACUUAUUUAUAUUUUUUAUUUAUUUUAAAUUAUAAUUUUUUUUUAAAGAUAUUAAAUUUAUCAAUAUUUUAAUAUAUUUUUAUUUAAUAUAUAUUAAAGAUAAAAUUAUUAAUUUAAAAAAUAAAUUAAUAAUUGAGCAAUACGAACGGAGAGUGGAGAAUUGCAUGGCUACAAAAUAACAAGAACACAUUCAAUUUUCUCAUAAAUUAUUAUUGUUAGCCUCAAAAGAAUAUCUCUCGCAGAUUUUAUUCUCCAUGAAAAAUUGAAUGGAAGUUAAAAAUGUUAUUCCUACGUCGUUUAAGCCGAUGCAUUUUAUAUACCUAAAUUCUCAACUGAUCCCUUCCCUCUGAUCUCAUUCAGGCAACUGCUCACAGUGACUCACGCCGUUCGCCCCUCAGCCAUCCCGAUUCUCUCACGGACUCAUUGUCUUUGUCUUUGUGCAUAAUCCUCGUCCUUUCCUCUCUCGUUCUCGACUCUGCACAAAAUCCCCCGCCUCUCAAUCUCGCCGCUGCACCGGAAAGCGUCAUCUUACGACGCUGCGUAAAAGAAAGCCCCUCGCAGGUCAGUUCGCAGAUCUUUCGCUUUCUUUUUUCUUAUUUUAUAUCCAAUUUAAUUAAUUUAUUAUGUAUAUUUUGGUUUUGUUCUAAUUUACUGUGAAAAAAUCUGUGUUAUUUCUUAGUUCUACAUUUCCCGCACGUGAGAUAUAUUUGGUUUGCUUCACCAUUUAGAUGAUAAUUUUACUAUUCAAAUCCGCGUUUUCUAGUUGUGUAUAUACAAAAUUGAAACUCUGUGUUCUAAACUGUGUAAAAAUGGAAUUGUAAUUGAUAUUGUAACAGAGGAUUUUCUCUGACAGACAAUUACUACUUCAAAGAAAUUAUGUAAAUCAUAAAAUAUUCUUGUGUGUAUUCUAGUUUAACUUGACGUGAAGCUACAAAUUCUCUUAAACUGACUCAAAAUCGUGCUGCUGAUUAAUUUUGGUUAAUUCUCAGCAGCAUUUCUGUCUUUAAUGGAAGUUUUAAGUAGCAUUUUCCCGUAACAUUAAAUUUUCAUAAUUAUUUUCAGGAUUUUUUUAAAAAAGGGCUCAUGCAGGCUCAGAUAUUAUAUGCUUAGCAGUAAAAGAGCUUGGAUGAAUACAGGCAGUUAAAGCUAUAUCCUAGUUGUGUUUAGGCUGGGUUCAGGUAUUUUAUAUAUAUAUGUAAAGUUGGGUUUGGGUUUGGAUAUCCUUAAUUUCAUGAGUUCCCUGUCCGGUAUCAUUCCUAAUCCUUGCCAAUAGAAAACUGAAGAACUCCUGCCUGUUACAGAAACACAUGAAUUUCCACCAAUUGCUGAGGUGUGGUGCAUUCCCAAGUUCCCAACAGUUAUUCACAUAUUACAACAUAAUUCCAACAACAAACUUACCAUGCCUUCUCAAUUUUGACAAGUGAAGCUGGGAUGAGAAGCUGGGUCCAGUUGUAUGUUAUCUAUUUAAUCAGUAACCAAUGUUUAUCUGGUGGGUGGUGGCAUAGGCAGAAAUAAAGGCAAUUAAAGAAAAGGCUUCUGCUGUAACAACUCAAUGACAAGGCAUCAGCUACUUGAUUCUCCUUCCCCUUCUUUAUGGUUUUUCAUGGUCAUACAGCUGCAAUUUAAUAAUUUUUACUUUUGCUUUCACGUGUGUGUUUUUUAGUCAGUUUGCUUAUCUGAAGUAUUAGUUCACGGCUUAUUUUUUUUAAAAAAAUGUAAUUGUAGUGUAUAUUUGCAGCAAUAUUAAUUUAUUUACUGGUCAUGGUUUACAGGAAACUUCUUUUUUAAAAUCUGAUUUAUCAUAAAUCAAAAUGAAAAAUAUAGGGCUCAAAUUCAUAUAUAUAUAUAUAUAUAUAUAUUCUGUACGUUUGUGUUUUUAUUCAUGAUGGACUGGAUGCUGGUCUGUUUGGUUUUGCUGGCAGGGUUCCAGAAAAUCACUUUCUUAAAUGUGUUAGUUUGAGGGUAUUAAAAAGUGAUUUAAAAUAAAAUUUCAUAGUUUUUAGUUAUAAAAGCUCUAAAACGAUAAAACAAAAUUUUUUUUCUAGUUCCGUCUAAAAUGAUGAUUUUAUUCNNNNNNNAAAGUGCUUUUUAUUUUUGCUCUGAACCUCAAUGCUCUGUGUGGUCUAUGUGGAAGAAAAAUCGAAGCUGCUGUCUUCCUUAGUUGCCGUUUUAUUUACUGUUUAUAUUUAUUUGAGACUUUUGAGUCCAAUCAAUACUUGGGCCAUUUCUCAAGGACUGGGAUUUAGACCAUGAGCCAAAAUACAUAAUUAUGCAAGCCGUAAUUACGCUCAUGUUUGGCAUAAUGCCUUUACCUUUUUGCAAUUAAAUAUCAAUUGGAUUUUGGGUUUAGAUCAUGAUAAGAUUGCAUUCUCCUACACACUUAUCGUUGUGAAUUCAUCCAAGUACUGAUUUCCAUAUUAUGAAAGUCAAAUGAUUAACCCAAACAAGGCACAUAUUUCACAGCAGUGAUAAGUAUCCAACAGGUUAACUGUAGAUAGUGUAAGCCAUGAUGAUAAAAUUGAAUUAAGAAAAGAUCUCUUUUCCCAACGAGUAAAGCUUCAGUGAUUGCAUCAGUUUCUGCCCUUUUUCUCCACUUCAAUCUGCAAUUUGUUCCUUUUAAAUUCAGCUCUGUGGUGUUCUCAGAGAGUAAAGCAAAAAGAGAAAACAUCUUUUAUUGUGAGAUCUCAAUUUGAAUCUGUCAUUGCGAUUCUUUGAGAUAAGGAUAGUGUGUGAGCAUAUGGCUUAGGGUUUGAAAGCCAUUGAUAGGUUGGAUUUUUGGAUCAUAGAGUUUUGUCUUAAUUAGGCAAAGUUUUACAUUCUUUUCUCUUUUUACUCUUUUUUGUUAUUUGUCUGUUUAUUUGGUGAAGUAAUCAAAUUGUGCAAAUCAACUGCAGAGAGCUCACAGAAUCUACCAAAUGGAGAUGAAGUUAGAGCAGAAGGAUGCAGCUGAUUGGGUUUAUAGGGGUGAAGGUGCUGCUAAUCUAGUCCUCUCUUACACCGGAUCAUCUCCCCUUUUUGUAUGUUCUUCGACUUUAUGCUUUUCCUUUGCCCCACACUUAAGUUUCACAAUUUUUUAUUGGUGAAAAUUCCUUGUUAGCUAAUGUGGUAUAUGAAAAGUUUAGGGUAGAGUAGAGGAAGUGAAUUGCCUUCUAUUUCCCUUUUUAGAAUAAAUUGUAUAUUGUUUGAUUUGUAAUAUGUAAUGAUGAGACAGAUUGGGAAGGUAAUGAGAAUACAAAAGACAGCAAGGAACGGCUCUUCACAUUGUCUGGAGGAUCACACAGUAUUAACAGAGCAUGAAAGAUUGCUAUGGAAAGAGUCAGAAGAGCUAGUGUCAUCUUCUACAAAAGAACUGGCGGAGUUGCAUUAUGUGAAACAUGUCAUGACCCCUUUGUUGGGUCCCAAGCACGUCGAUGCUGGUGUAUGCUUUUUCUUCUUUUCCUUUUCCUUCAUCAUUAUUAUUUUUUUCAUAAAGCUUAUGUUGUUUUUUGGUGUAUGUGCAGUCAUUAUUUUUCGUUCUUGUUUCUUCAUAAUUUGUCGAGGUUCAUUUAAUGUAGAUAUACAGAGAUUUCAUAUAUGUAUGACAUUUUGGAUAAUGUUUUUGGUUGCUAACGAACGUGAAACAGUUGAAGCUAUAUUUAACAUUUUUCCUGCUCAAUUUGAGGACAAUUAAUGGUCUGAUUAAGAUUUCUGAUGUGGAUCUGCUUGGAAUUUGGCAGAUGCAUGUCGUAACAUCUAGCGAAUUUCUUGAAUCGAUUGAAAAGAAAGUGGUUUGUCAGCGUCCUGCUUGGCGAGUUGAUGCUGCCAAGGUUGAUACAAAAUGUGAUUUUGUGCUCCUGAUGACUGAUCAUUCUCUAUUUCCCAAUGGUAACUACCAAGAUCUUUUUUUCUUUAAUAGAAAUUGUCAAAACUGGUCCUGACAUGUUUCUACCUUGCAAUUCUGAUGGUACAGUUACUAUAUCUUCCAUUUUUGUCACAAUUAGCUAGUCAGGAAAAAAGCAUCUUCAAUCUGUUGUAUUAAGUUAGUCCAUAAUACACAAAUACCUCAAUUUUGAUCUGCCUGUUCUGUUUAUUCUCUUUUGAAGCUUUGAUGCUUGAAUCUUGAUUAGUUGUUAUCAUUAAGAGAAACCACGUCCUCUUUCAUGUUUUGAGGCAACAUUAGGACACAGUAUGUGCAUGGUCCUCACUAUAUUGCUUACAACUGAAUGUAACUUGCCUGGAAUGACACUUGAAAAUCUUCAUCAGCCCCUAUCUCAUUUAAUGAACAUUUUGAGCAAUUAAAUUUGUUAAAUCAGGUCUAAAGUUCCCAUAACUUAAUUUUUUAUAAGUGUAUUAUUUUAUUUUUUUAGCAUAAUAUUGAGAAGUGGUAAUUUAUUCUGUUUUCUCAUCCCAGGUACUGCUAAAGUUGGCCCCUGCAUAUCUGUUGAGAUAAAGGUACCGGCAUGCAAGUUUAUGCUUGUUACAGUUCUUCUCAUUUUGGUGUUAGUUUUUGUUCGUUUGUGAGUGUUGUCUUUUCCUUAUAGGCUUUGUAAUUUACCUAUUUGUUUGCAUAGAGUAGCCCAAAUGUGGAUUUCUACCUUUAUCAAGAUUCAUAGCUGAAAAAAAUGCCAUCAAAAGAAGCACAACUCGUUUUAGAAUGCACCAAGUCCUGAAAUUGCGCCAACAUGAGGUGACUUCUUCUAUCCUAUACUAUAGUAAUGCUAUGAAUUUAGUUACUAUGUCAGCAAUCAUUUCAUACAUGUCCGCUCUGAUAGGACUCAUGUUUUAUUUAUUAGUGUUGUUAAUACCAGUUUCAAAAAGGCACCUCAUUGAUGAGGCCUUCUCUCUGUUAUUUCAUUUUCACUCUAGCAUUUUUUUUUCAGAUAUCGGAGUUAAGCCAAUAUGACCCGUUGGAUAUUUUCUCUGGUUCCAAGGAAAGAAUAUAUAAAGCUCUCAAUGAUCUCUAUAGUACCCCUCAGAACAAUUUCCGCGUAUUCUUAAAUGGCUCUAUUAUAUUUGGGGGCUUGGGUGGUGGCACAAAUAAAACUAGUAUUGUGAUUGGAAAAGCUUUUGAAAGCGCAUUGAAGGAAGUCAUCCAGGCAGAUGAUGGUUUGCGUACAAGGAGUUUCAUAGAGCUUGUUGCUGAGACUGUUUAUAAUUCUCAAGUAUUGGAUCAGCUUCUUGAAGUUCAGAAGCUAGAUAAUUUUGAUAUUGAAGGGGCAAUUCAUGCUUAUUAUAACAUUAUUUCUCAGCCUUGCAUGGUAUGUAGAGAAUUUGAUGAAGCAAGAGUUCCACAUGGAUAUGCCUCCUUGCAUUCCAUUCCUUUGAGUGAAAGCUUGAAGAUCGUAAAGGAUUAUUUAAUAGCUGCAACUGCUAAGGACUGUAGUUUGAUGAUCAGUUUUAAACCAAGGGACGAUGGGGAUUUUGGGUCUCCAUAUGGUCAUAUACACAUAAAAUCAACCAACCAAAACUUUGAUUACAAGGUAGGCCUUUAAGCUAUUUCAUUUUUAUGUUAAAUCAUAUACUAGAUAUGAAGUUGCUAAGAUACCUUUGUUCUAGCAACACUAUACCAUGUUAGAAAGAGAGAGAGAUUCCCAUUUGCCAUUCUUGGUGUCUAAAGGGUCUUUGGUGUUAGGACUGUUGUGAGAUUCACACACUAAUUUUGUUCUGAUCCAAUGAUCUUCAGAACUUUUAUUGUGUCUGGUCAAAUUCAUGGAGGUAGUACUAUUUUAUACUAAUCUCACCCCAAUUGAUUGCUUUGUCUCAAAAACAGUAAGCACCAUAUCUUGGCCUAUGGUUUGAUAUUCCAUUUUUAUUGCAAAUUCCGUAGGUGAAUUUCAUCGACUUGGAUUUGAAGCCCUUAAAAAAGAUGGAAACCUAUUAUGAAAAGGACAAGAAGAUACUAAACGCCUAUGCUCAGAUGGGGGAAACAAAACAUAUGAAAGGCAACACUAGUAUGGAGGUCUAUGAAACUAUAAAGUGACAUUCAACAAGACUCUGGAGCAUUCUUACUUUACUGAAGACUAUCGGUAUGUGAAUGUCAGUUGGUGUGACCUUUUCACUUAUAUAUCUAUGUUAUUUGUAAAAUAUUAGGAUUAGAGGUGCUUAUCUCUUUGUUCACAGAUACUCUUUAGGUCUUAAGGAAGAUUGGACUCUAUGUGUGCUUUGCAGCUACUAUAGAUUUUCAAAUACUGCAGUCAAUGCAAUGAGCCUCAAUCCAAUGUAGUUGGAAUUGGUUACAUGGAUCUUUUUUGUACUCUUCACUCAAUUUAGAGCUGCAGCUACUGUAAAUUUACCAAUUCUUUUCAAAUACUGCAGUCAAUGCAAUGAGCCUCAAUCCAAUGUAGUUGGGAUUGGCUACAUGGAUCUUUUUUUGGCUCUUUACUCCAUUUAGAGCUGCAUUUAUAGAGAGGUCUGAAAAUGCUAAAUCCAACACUUUGUAACAUGUCAUCUCAGGUCUACCACUCAUUUCUCCCCUUCAUAUAACUUAAAUGUGUUUAAUCUCCAUUGCAUCCAUGGGCCUGUAUCUAAGCAAUGCUCUUUAGUAUUACUGCUGAAGUCUAAAUUGUAUUUUAUUGACCUUAAACUUUUAAGAGUGCUAUGAAAAGUUUUGUAUAUGAUUUUAUUGAAUAUCUACAAGCAUCUCCACUUUCUCACGGAUGUUUGAUGUGUAAAUUAUUCAGCUUUCUAUUUUGUUUUGUCAUUUGAUGGGAAUUUAAUGAGGGUGAAGGAUAGAAAGUGACAAGACACACUUUUGAGCUCUACUGGGAAAAUGAUAUGUCAACUACUUUUGGUGCCAUUCCAUCCCAAGCUCACAUGAUCUACAAAUUCAGUUAACUGGGUUGAACAUGUUGGACGUGUUGAAACUCUAAUGGCAAGAUUUACCUCUCAAUGUUGAUAAAUGAGAUUAGGCCAGACACUAAAUAACCUCUGUUAUCCAUUUGGCAUCAUUAAGUUUUUGUGCCACAUGAGCUUCAGCUAUGAUUACCUGAGCUGUAACUUAUACAUAAGUACUGGUAUUUGGAUGAGCAAAUUCUUGCUCGGUUAAGUGCUCAACUUCUGUUUUUGCCUCUGAUGGAGAUUCCAAGUCAACAUACAAAAUUAUGGUUAUUUCUUGAAACAUCUAGUUAUUUAAAAUUUGUAUCACAUUUAUGGAGUUGGUAGAUCUUGUAGGCAAAUUUCAUUGACUGCAGAAUGGUGCCAUUUUGGGCUUUUUUAAAAUCAUUUUGAAGUAUUUCUUUACAAGCAACUAUGUGUCUAUACCAUGUCCAUGCUUCGAUUUGUGUUUUUAUUUUUCUAUGAUCUCUUUUCUUUUUUGGAAAACAUGUGCAUUUAAGGAAGUUUUAUCAUUGCAGUGAUUUACAUGUGAUAUAUUUAGACACCUAAGGUUCUAAUUGGAUUACUAAAUUUCAUAGUUUACAGUGCGACUGUAUGAAGAUAAGCAAGACUGAAUACUGAUGCUCCGGCAUGGUUUCAGAUCAGGAUCUCAGCUAAGAUUGAAGGUUUGUGAAGUUAUGUUUUGAUUGGCCAGAUAGAAUACACAGCGGUCACAAUACAUUGACAGCAGUGGCAGCUGUACCAUGUGCUGGAUAAUGAGGUGCUACUCUGUGAAGUCAGUGAAUCUGUGUAAGAGCAGGACAUUUUAGGACCUCUUCUGAAGUUUUUACAGCCAAAAAAGACAAAAGGUGGCAGAAGUAGGGUACGAUGUACUCAUUCAGCUAACCGCAAUGCCCACUGAAGCUCUUUUGAUAAAUUAAGGGACUGCUUGAUGCCCUUUAGGCCACAACAACUUUUAAUUCAAGGUUAUUAUUUCUAUUUCUUAAAAAUAUCCUAGACUAAUGCAUGAUUAUAUUUACACUGUUGAUGCAGAUCUCAAUUCUGUAGUUAGACAUAUUUAGCUGAAAGUUUCCUUGAUAAUACAAUGGUUAGACAUAUUCACCUGAAGGAGCCAUGACCUGUGACUGCUGAAUCUGGUCUAUAUGUGGGCAUGGGAAAAGAUCUAGGUCUCACAUAAUUUCUAUUCUUAAUUUCUCAUGUGGUUUGUACGACUAGCAUCCCUCUUUCCCAAGGAUGUGCUAUGCUGGGAUGUGAAAUCUGGAAAUUAACUUGUUGCUUAUAUGAGAAGAUCAUAGGCUAUGGUAAUGUUAUAACUUGAAAGUAUUAGCAAGUAAAUUUUGCAUUCAAUGCAUGUCGGAGGUAACAGUUGAUCCAAUCAAGAACCUUCUGACAGUCAUUUACUUAUUAUCACCUACUUACAUUUACUCCUCUCUCUUUUUGGGUCCAAAAUCAAAGAAAGAAAAUGUGGUGGUAUAUAAUUUUUAUUGCAUGAUGAGACAUGCUAAGUGAAAAAAUAAAGUUAUAUAUAGCAUUCUGAAUCCCUUCCAUUCCUUCUGUACCAUCUUGUUCCACUAGACUAUAAUUUUUUUUUCCUGUAGCUGUCAGAAAAAUGUCCAAGGUUAUCUAUGCUCGGAGUUGCAUAUUUUAUAAUUUUUUGCUUGUUUUAUAUGUUAUUCUUCUAUUUAUACGCAAAGAAUCUCUUGGGGCAUGUUCUUUUUAAAACUGACAGUCUGCAGCACUUUUUCAGGAUAUUUGAUAUGGCAUAAAUAUAUAGCUGUUCUUACACCGACACUGGGAGAAAGUACAGAGGAAUCUGACAUUAUCUUUCUGGUGCAGAAAACUAUAGUGUCAGUGGAGCUGCGCUGUUCAAAAUGCAGGCAGAAGGUGAUGAAGUUAAUUGCAACAAUUGAAGGGAUAACUUCUAUCGUCCUUGACCCUUCGAAGAAGACAGUGACCGUGAUUGGUGAAGCUGAUCCAGUGAAGAUCAUUAAGAAAGUCAGGAAAUUUCGAAAGUGUGCAACAAUUUUGAGCGUAGGGCCUCCCAAGGAAGAGAAGAAGGAAGAUAAAGAUUCACUUAUGAAACAAAUGAUCGUUCCUUGUGCUCCAAAGCCAUGUCAGAGAUGCGAUGUUUGGUAUGUGGUUGAUGACUUUUAUAGUUAUUGUUCUAUCAUGUAAAUUGGAAAAAUCUCCUAUCUCAUGCAGACUUGUGCUGAUCAAAACGUUAUGUUUCGUGUUCUGAACAUCUUUUAAUUCUAUUGCAUGCUACUGAAAUUUACUUUUUAAUCAACAAAUGAUUACUUCCCUCAAUGAUCAUAUAUACAUCUCGCUUCUUGUCUUCAAUGUUUAGGCUACUUAAGAUUUGAGGAUUUUCAGAAGCAGGCAGUAAUAAGAAGUUGAACUAUAUGAACUAUAUGGUAGCAAGUAAAAGUAUGUCUAGAAUCGACUGCACUGGAUUAUUGAUCAUAUUUUGCUAGUUGUGGAGAUAGAAACUUGGGUUAGGUGAGUAGCAGGUUGUUGCUUUUUUAUUGUGAGUAGGCAUUCUGAAUUGUAGGGUAAUAAAUGGUGCUUCAAGGAAACUUGAGCCAUCGGCUACCCAUGCCACAAUAACUUCUGUACCUACCCAUGCCUUUUGGUAGGACCACUGUGUACUCUGCAUAAGGAGAGGAAGAAAUACUCCCAAUGGGGCAUGGUCUAUGGAUUUGUUUAGUACUUCUUGGAUAGGGUAAAUUACUAUCAAACUAUUGAGUUUUUAUUCGCAAGUUAUUAUGAGAUUAUAUUUUAAAAUUUAACUCUUUAUUCCUUAAUUAUAUAAAUAUAUUUAUAUACUAAAUUUAUAUAAUAUAUUUAAAUAUUUAUAUUAUUUAAUCUUUUUAGUUGGUAGUUUUUUUAUAGAAUGAUUAAAUUCUAAAAACUCGAUAAUAAUGGAUUCUCCAUUUUAUAAGUGGGGUAUCAUUCUUAUUUUAAAAUAUGUUCAAAAUUAAAUAAUAUAAACUUUUUUGGUAAAAAGAUUGGAGGGUUUAAUCUUAUAAAAUAAAUAUAAUUUUAAAUAAAUAAUAUAAAUUAAAAGUGGCAACACAAAAAAUUGUUAUGGAAUUUCCGACAAAAGUGAUAGUGUUGGAGGUUGAUGAAUACGUGUGACAUGGAUGUCUCUAUUUUAUAGUUGUUGAUGAAGCAAUUUUCAUACACAAAUAAGAUAAUAGAUUUCAUGAGGUGUUGAUUUGAUUGAUGAAUGUAUCAACAUGAAAGCUCAAUUCCUCAUAAUUAUUUUUUCUUAAAAAAAAUUUUCCAAGAAAAAGACGGGGGACUAUAGACAGCAAUACAUCCUAAACCUACAUUUCUUUUCCUUUCGCCUCAGCUUCAGCCCAUGCUUCCCACGAGAUGCCGUUUGAAUUAAAUUUUGUGUAUCAUUUUUUUUUGUAGCUACCACCAAGUAAAAUAUACAUUUUUAGAAUAUAUUAAUUAGAGAAUAUUAAAAUUUUAUUUAAAUUAAUUUUUAACGUUUGAAAGUGUUUUUUCUUCUCAAAAGGAACUUUCUUAACAUACUUAGUUCAUUACUGUUUUUUUCUUGAGAAAUCAAUUUCAAUCUCUCACUUAAUCGCACCCAAAUUAAAAUUAACAAAGAUUUAACAAAUCUAAAGAAAAAUCAACGAAAACAGGCCUUUGAAAAAUGUUAUUUCAAAAGAAGAAAAGGAAAAACAUAAUAAUUUAUCAAAUUUUAGGAAAUUAAUAGUAAUUUAAUUAAUUUUACUUCAUAAUUUAAGCCACUCCCCCCUUAUAAUUACGCGUGUUUCACACUAAAAUUAAAUAAUUAGAGAAAUAAAUUGAUCAUAAUUUAUUUUAUGAAUUAAACUUAAUUGCUUCUCAGUUCUAAAUCCAAGGGGCCAUCAUAAAGGCCCAAAUGAGCCCAAUGGCCCAUUCAAAAUCAGCAGAAACAAUGAGAGAAUUCUAGUUCUUUUCGAUCAUAGACAAUAUCUACCUUCUUUCUUUGUCUUCAAGCCAAAACCCCACAAAAACCUCUAUGUCUACACUACAAGCUUGAAAAAUUAGCGGAAAAAAAAAAAGAACAAGAACAUGUCACCUCUCCCCAAAACUGAAACUGUUCUUUCAACGGCAGCCUCUGCCAUUGUCUUCUGUUCCAUAGCCAGAAAUCUCAUUCCCCAAGCUGUUGAAGAAUACCUUUUUUCGACCCUUCGAAAUAUAUCAGCCCGUUUGAAGUCUCAGCUCACUGUCGUCAUCGAAGAAUUCGAUGGCCUCACUGCUAACCAAAUGUUUCAGGCUGCUAAUCUAUACUUAGGCUCCAACCUGUCUUCUAAAACAAGAAGAAUCAAGGUGACUAAGCCAGAGAAGGAGAAGGAACUGGCAAUUACUAUUGAUAGGAAUCAAGAAUUGGUUGAUGUGUUUAAAGGAGUGAAAUUGAAGUGGAUUUUAAUGUCUUCAGACAUUGAAAUGCCUGCUGCUGCUUCUAACAAGAAACGCCAUGACAGUGCAUUGUCACGGUCUGAGCUGCGAUGCUUCGAGCUGAGUUUCCAUGAGAAGUACAGAAACAUGGUGUUGAGUUCUUAUUUACCGUACAUUCUUCAAAAGGCUAAAGAAAUAAGAGAAGAGAAAAAGACUCUGAAGCUGCAUAUGAUCGACUACAAUGGAACUGAUUAUUGGGGAUCCAUCAACUUCCAUCAUCCUGCAAACUUUGACACAAUAGCAAUGGAUUCAGAGAUGAAAAAGAGGCUGAUUGAGGAUCUUGAUCGAUUCGUGGCAAGGAAAGAGUUCUAUAGCAGAGUAGGCAAGGCUUGGAAACGUGGGUAUUUAUUAUAUGGACCACCUGGAACAGGAAAAACGAGUUUGGUUGCUGCCAUGGCUAAUUAUCUCAAGUUUGAUGUUUAUGAUUUGGAUUUGAAGGAGGUUCAAUGCAAUUCGGAUUUAAGGAGGCUACUCAUUGGUACAGGCAAUCAGUCGAUAUUAGUAGUUGAAGACAUCGAUCGUUCUUUCGAGUCUGUGGAAGAUAAUAAGGUAAAUUCUCAUAUCCUGCUUCAGCUAAAUGCAUUCUAUACACAUGGUUAGCUAGGAUGUCAGAAUUACAAGAAAUUGUGUAGUUUCAUUAUAACCAUUGACCAUAGUUAGUCUCGCAUGAAAUCGUAGUAUAAUCAAAGAUCAGAAUAGAUUCGUAGUACAUACAACAAUUGUACUAAAUAAAUUUUUAACAGUUACAUUGGAGAAUAAACAGUUGAACAUACCUGAACUGCUAUGGCAAGAUGCUUUCUGUAUAGUUAAACUCGCAUUUGCAUCACAGGUUACUCUCUCUGGUCUUCUCAAUUUCAUUGAUGGCUUGUGGUCGAGCUGCGGAGAUGAAAGGAUUAUAGUGUUCACAACCAAUCACAAGGAUCAGCUCGAUCCAGUAUUGCUAAGACCAGGGCGUAUGGAUAUGCAGUUGCACAUGUCUUACUGCAGUUUUACUGCUUUCAAAACGCUCGCAUUUAAUUAUUUGAAUAUUCAGGAGCAUCAAUUAUUUGAAGAAAUUGAACAACUGUUGAAGAAGGUUCAGAUUACACCUGCUGAAGUUGCUGGAGAGCUAAUGAAACAUAAAGAUGCAGAUGUUGGACUUGGAGAACUAAUCGAGUUCCUCCAAAACAAGCUAACAUCUGUUCUGAUGAAGGCAAAACCAAGAAGACCACAAGCAUCAACAGUCCUUUAGGAAUUUCUUACUUUGUAGGUAAAGAACAUGUAAGCAUUUGUCUCGAGUAUCGGCAUAACACAUAAACUGCUAGAUUUGCCAGCACAACUAUAAAAAACUUGAUGAAUUUCUUUUACUCUCCAUUUGCCAUAAUUUAUUUUAUAAAAAAAAUAUUCAAUUAAAUUUUUAUAAAAUCAAGAAUGAUUUCAUUUUUUUAAAAAAAUAAUGAAUUAAAUUAAGUCUUUGUGAAAUUUUUUUAUUUCAGACAAGGGGUUAAGGUUCAGGUUUAAUAGAAAGACACAUAAAAAGUGCAAAAUCAAAUUUUCCACCGGCCAAUUACUACCAAAACCAGGAACAAAGUUCAGGUUUGAUGCAAACAGUCUAUGACUAAAUUUUGGGAACAUGAGAAAAUUUUCGUUCUUACCAUUUUAAAGAUCUACAGUGCCAUUUUCGUAUCUACUUUCUUCUGAUGAUCAUAACCAAAGGCUUUUUAUCUUUUACAAGUUAAAAAAAAAAAAAAAAUNNNNNNNNNNNNNNNNNNNNNNNNNNNNNNNNNNNNNNNNNNNNNNNNNNNNNNNNNNNNNNNNNNNNNNNNNNNNNNNNNNNNNNNNNNNNNNNNNNNNNNNNNNNNNNNNNNNNNNNNNNNNNNNNNNNNNNNNNNNNNNNNNNNNNNNNNNNNNNNNNNNNNNNNNNNNNNNNNNNNNNNNNNNNNNNNNNNNNNNNNNNNNNNNNNNNNNNNNNNNNNNNNNNNNNNNNNNNNNNNNNNNNNNNNNNNNNNNNNNNNNNNNNNNNNNNNNNNNNNNNNNNNNNNNNNNNNNNNNNNNNNNNNNNNNNNNNNNNNNNNNNNNNNNNNNNNNNNNNNNNNNNNNNNNNNNNNNNNNNNNNNNNNNNNNNNNNNNNNNNNNNNNNNNNNNNNNNNNNNNNNNNNNNNNNNNNNNNNNNNNNNNNNNNNNNNNNNNNNNNNNNNNNNNNNNNNNNNNNNNNNNNNNNNNNNNNNNNNNNNNNNNNNNNNNNNNNNNNNNNNNNNNNNNNNNNNNNNNNNNNNNNNNNNNNNNNNNNNNNNNNNNNNNNNNNNNNNNNNNNNNNNNNNNNNNNNNNNNNNNNNNNNNNNNNNNNNNNNNNNNNNNNNNNNNNNNNNNNNNNNNNNNNNNNNNNNNNNNNNNNNNNNNNNNNNNNNNNNNNNNNNNNNNNNNNNNNNNNNNNNNNNNNNNNNNNNNNNNNNNNNNNNNNNNNNNNNNNNNNNNNNNNNNNNNNNNNNNNNNNNNNNNNNNNNNNNNNNNNNNNNNNNNNNNNNNNNNNNNNNNNNNNNNNNNNNNNNNNNNNNNNNNNNNNNNNNNNNNNNNNNNNNNNNNNNNNNNNNNNNNNNNNNNNNNNNNNNNNNNNNNNNNNNNNNNNNNNNNNNNNNNNNNNNNNNNNNNNNNNNNNNNNNNNNNNNNNNNNNNNNNNNNNNNNNNNNNNNNNNNNNNNNNNNNNNNNNNNNNNNNNNNNNNNNNNNNNNNNNNNNNNNNNNNNNNNNNNNNNNNNNNNNNNNNNNNNNNNNNNNNNNNNNNNNNNNNNNNNNNNNNNNNNNNNNNNNNNNNNNNNNNNNNNNNNNNNNNNNNNNNNNNNNNNNNNNNNNNNNNNNNNNNNNNNNNNNNNNNNNNNNNNNNNNNNNNNNNNNNNNNNNNNNNNNNNNNNNNNNNNNNNNNNNNNNNNNNNNNNNNNNNNNNNNNNNNNNNNNNNNNNNNNNNNNNNNNNNNNNNNNNNNNNNNNNNNNNNNNNNNNNNNNNNNNNNNNNNNNNNNNNNNNNNNNNNNNNNNNNNNNNNNNNNNNNNNUUUUUUUUUUUUUUUAUUUUGAACUUGGAAAGGUCAAAAGCCCAUGACCAAUAAGUUAAAAGUCAAAUGCCUGAAAUGAAUCAAACAUUCUUUUUCAGAGGUUUUAUCCUCAAAGAGUCCGCAGCCCAGGACCAGGAGUAAUUGUUGGUAACCAAAAAAAGGCCACAAAUGGUAGCAACGUGAACAGUAAAUCAAUUUAAAUUACCACAGAUUAGCAUCAACUAAUUAAUGUUUCUUAAUGCAUAUCAAUCCCAAUUAUACACUAAGAAAUUCUGGAACACCAUUUGUAAGAACACCCUCCAAAAUAAAAUAUAUUCGCUUUCGUUUCAUAAUUUUUGUUCACCUUUUUUUUUAAUUAUUUUAAAAUUAUUAUUCACUUUUUUUAUUAAUUAUUAUAAUUUUAUUUUAUUUUCAAAAUAUUUUUUAAUAUGUAAUAAAAUUUAAUAUUUUUAAUAUAAAUAUAAUUAAAAAGUAAAUAAAAAAAUUAUUUUUUUAAUAUAAAAAAACAAGCGGAUAAAAAUUAUAAAAAGAAUAGAGUAUUAUUUUUUUUAUUAAGUGUAAAGCAUUAUACAUCUCAAUUAAAUAUUAAAUUAAACUAUUAAAAACUUUGUGGCAUGUAAAUUAAAGUAUUUAUUUUUUACACAAUUCUUUUUGCCUCAUCAUGUUUUGAAAAAUCUCUUCACUUCAAUAUUAACUAAUUAAUUAUAUCAUCGAAGCCGAGAGCUUCCUUUUGGUAAGGCAUCGGCUGUGCCGCUGCGGCACCACCGGCUGCACCGCUGCGGCACCUUCAUCCCCUUCAAAGUAUUUUCUGAUCACCGGUACGGCACGUACCCCUUGCCGUACCUUCCCUCCGCCCCUGAUUUUAAUGUUUAAUCACAUAUAUCAUAGUUGUCAAAUUUAGAUUCGAAUGAUACUCAUUUCAUAAAUUGAAAAUCUAAUCAAAUAGUAUAAUUUGUUAAAAAUUUCAAAAAUUGAUUAAACAUAAUAUAUAUUCUAAAAAUUAUAUCUUAAUAAUAUAUUUUGAUAAAUAUAGAAUUAUCAUUUAUUUAAUUAAAAAUAUUCUUCAUAAUAAAAUAAUCUAUAUACAUUAUAUCAUGCACUUCAAUAUUAACUAAUUAAUUAUAUCAUCGGAGCCAGGAGCUUCCUUUUGGUAGGGCACCGGCUGCGCCGCUGCGGCACCUUCAUCCCCUUCAAAGUAUUUUUUGAUCGCCGGUACGGCACGUAGCCCUUGCCGUACCUUCCCUCCGCCCCUGAUCUUAAUGUUUAAUCACAUAUAUCCAUAGUUGUCAAAUUUAGAUUCGAAUGAUACUCAUUUCAUAAAUUGAAAAUCUAAUCGAAUAGUAUAAUUUGUUAAAAAUUUCAAAAAUUGAUUAAACAUAAUAUAUAUUCUAAAAAUUAUAUCUUAAUAAUAUAUUUUGAUAAAUAUAGAAUUAUCAUUUAUUUAAUUAAAAAUAUUCUUCAUAAUAAAAUAAUCUAUAUACAUUAUAUCAUGCAGUUUUAUGUUAUAAAUUAUAAAUUUUAGAAUUAUAAACAAUAGUUGCAUAAACUAAAUUCGUAUUUAAAUUUGAUCAAAUAAUUAAAUAGUUCAAAAAAAAUAUUAUUAAAAGUAAAUCGCUAAAGAAAUUUAUAAUUUUAAUUUUGUUGUAAUUAUACCCUAUAAUUUUUUUUAAUCAAUUAAAUCUUGAUUUUUUAAAAUUACUUUAAUUAUGUUCUACUAUUACUUAUACCGUUAAAAAACUAAUAAAAUUGUCACGUCACUCACCAUAUCACAACAGCACGUCAACAAAAUUUAGAAUUAAUCGUAAAAAAAAUUUUAUACUAUAUUUUUGUUGCAAUUUUAUUUUAUAAUUUUAUAUUUUAUCAAGUAAAUUUUAUCUUUUUAAUAUCUGAGCAAAUGCACCCUAACAUUACUUGUAUAGUUAGAGACUCAUCAACUAUAAUUAGUUAAGUAAAUUAACUAAAAAGAAAGAAGAGAGAGGAAAAAGAAUGGUUAGUUGAAGAAAAAUAAUUAAGGAGGGGUUUUAUAUAUACCAAAAAUAAAUAAGAUCUUAAAUUUUAAAAGUAUAAAAUCUGAUCUUAAAUUUUAAAAGUAUAAAAUCUAACAAACAUUUUAUAAUUAAUUAAUUGAAUCGGGUAAAACUUCGGUGUUUAUAUUGAUUCACCUGAUUUAGCUUGAGUCAUAAUUCAUCUUCUAAAUCACUAAACGGUUGUAAAAUUCGAAUAAAAAAUCGUAAGAUUUAAUUACAUUUAAAAUUUAUAUUAUAGAUUUGAAUUAUAAGAUUCAAACAGAGAAUUGUGAGAUUCCAACAACGGUGCAUAUAUCAUAAUAUGAAAUUAUUUUUCUAUCACAUCCUAACAUGAUUUACAAUUAUUAUUAUUAUUUAACUUUUUAUCAUUAUAAUAAUAAAAGAAAUUCCAUGCAGAGUGCCACUUUGCCUGGAUACAAUUCUAAUGCAUGCAGCACUGCAGGACACAGCCAAUAUCGCAUUCACAACAUUGCCAUAUGUUAAAACCAGUAUAGCAGUCGAAACAUGCUAAGAAUCAACAAGUAAAAAUUCUCAGGUACUAGGUGGAAGAGCUACUCAUUUUAUUGGUGGUUUCAAAUUUCAAUUGUUCACUUCAAGGAUUACAGAAAAAGGGCGACUUAAUGCAUGAUGUAUCCUGUGGACUUGGGGGAGGGUUUAUGUUUACUUCAAGUAUUCAAUUGCAUAAAAAAAAAAUAAAAAUAAAAAAAUAAAAAGAAAAGCAUAUUUCAUAGUUCUUGAAGUUCUUCAGCACCACAUCUCCAAAAUACUCUCAGCAAAUUCAGAUAAUGACAGUGACAACCGACAAGUAGCCUCCCAAAUACUGCAGAUUAAAAUUAUUCCAUAACUGCGUAAUAACAAAUGGUGAGUAUCUGACAAGUGGAGAUUGUCAAUAUUUUCCAAAAAUCUAGUUAUGGAAAACAAAUAAAAUGAAUUUUUGAAGAGAACUGAUACCUUCUCUGCAAAAAGUGAAAAAGACAUUAGCAGAUUGUAAUGAAUCUGAGUAUAGCAACAAUCAACAAGUGAAAGAACAAAACGCCUUUCGGUGAAAUGACAGAGGAAAAGGUGACAACAAUGUGAAAAUAGAAGAAUGCAAAUGUAUAUAGAAAGUCCAAGUUUGAUACUGCCUGACAACCAAAUUUUGAUAGGGUGAUGGUCCCUGUCCCAUCAUCUUUCAGGGUGCCACUUGAGAUAAUUUCUUCAACCAUUCUUAGAUGCACAUAAUGUUCAUGUUUCUCAGAAUAAUCUUCAGGGGAAAUGGUAAAUUAUUUAUCUUCAAAAGAUUCCAUGCUACAAUCAAAGUAGUGUUAUGAAAAGUUAUUUCUAUUUAAUAUAAAAUUUAUAUUCUCUACGAUACAUAUUUAUAUAUUCCUAAAACAUGAAAUUUAAUAUAUUUUUAUUAUAAUUGAAAAAUCCUGUAUCAUUCCAUAUAUAUUUUGGAUUCUCAAUUGUAAAUAGAAAAGCCUUUAUAUCAUAAAAUAAUCUAAUUCAAUAAAAAUGUUUUUAUAAACUUUUAAGGUAUUGUGUCCCUAGAUGUAGACUCUUGUAGUCGAAUCUCGUAAAUCAUUUUUGCGUUAUUUUCUUCUUUCCUCUACUAUUCUAACUUUAACAAUUACCAUUAUUAAACUUUGCUGCAGCACUUCUAAAAGGAGUUCCACGUUCAGAAUUCUUUCCAUGAACACAAGUCAAAAAAGACUGUCGAAUAUUGUUUUCGAAUAUUGUUUUCCAUGAACACAAGGACUAAGUAAGCAACCUAAUUAUACUGUUGAUGGAAGUUGUAACUUUGCUUGGUACCAUAAACGAUUACCAAGAAUAUUUCAUGAAAGAGCAAAUCUGCAGAAGGCUAGCCAGAACCAUCCAUCAGUUUCCAACAGGUUUUUUAAAAAAAAAAUCUCCUUCAUAAUCACAAAGAAUCAAGAGAAAAAGAGUAAAAAAAAAAAAAGAAACAACCAACUUCUCCACGGGUUUGAGAGCUUCUUCAAGAGUUAAAUUAGAGAGAAUUUUCGAAUGCAAUAUAAAAUCAUCACAUAUAUUUGCAAAUAGCUAAUGGCUUAAGAGAAAACAUGUAUCACUCAAUUCAUUGAACUCGAUUAGAAGGGCACCUGCGCACAGAGGAAACUGGGAGUCGUUAGGGGUUCCAACCGCCAAGAGUGAGAAGAGCCUCAGGCGAUUUUCCGACCACGGAAUUGGGAAGAAGCUUUUGUUAAUGGGGAACGAAAGAGGGGCACUGCGAUCAAAGGAGGCAACCGGAUGGAGUAAAACAGUAAAAAGGAUAAAUUUGCUCUCAGUAAAAAUUUCAAAUUUUAUUUUUCAUUCUAGCUUCUAAUUAUGUUAAAAAGUCUAUUAUUCAUGAAUUACGUUUACAUAUUUUUAAAUUUUUAAAUUUUAUUUAAUUUGAUAAUUUAAAAUAAAUUUAGGUUAAAAGAUUAAUUUUUAUAUUUUAAUUUUUACUAUAUAUUUUUAAAACAGAGUUAGUGUUUUAAUGGAAAUAAAAUCGAGAAAAAAAUCUUUAAAAAAGUUAUUUCCAAAUGAAUUUCUUUUGAUAAUUUACAAUAUAGUUUUCAAAACACUUCAAAGAAUAAUUGACUAUCAUUAAUCAAUAAGAAUAAGAAAUUAAUUAACUUUAAAAAUAUAAAUUAUAAUGAAACAAAAAAUUAUACAUAUAUAAUUAAAUCGUGUACAAUUUAUUCUACAAAAUUUAUUCAGUUGCUAAUAACUUGAAUUAUUAACUUUAAAAAAUAGAUAAAAUUAUUAAAAUUGAAUUUUAAUAAUUGUAAUUUAAAAUAAUUGUAAAUUUUCAUAAAAUAAUGCUUAAGUUCUUAAUUUUAAAUGUUAAGAAAAAUAUAAAUUUUAUGAAAUAAUUAAUAUUGAAAUUACGAAGUCUGGAGGCGUGUUUGUUUGUUGGUUUCAUUUUGUUUUUUCGGUUUGGGUGUGGACUUCCAUUGAGCAACUCCUCAUCAGAAUAAAAAGGGACUGAGAAUAAUCGAUACCGAAAAUCUCUAAUUGACUUCUUCAGGUGGUUCCAUAGUUAUAAUAAACUGAACAUGCUAUGGACUAGUUUUCCUCUUCUGUCAACUCAUAUUGUUGUGGCUCACUUUCUCGACUGUUUUCUAAAUUUGUAAUGCAUGUUUUUUUUUGUUGAUAGCCGAUUUGAAUUCAUAUUUUUCUUCUCGUGUUUUUUCCUCUUUUCCGGCUAUCCUUUUUUCUUUUGUUGUGGCUAUUCUUGCGGUGUUGUUUUUAGUUUCCUUACUUGAGGCGGGUAUGCCACUUCCGGUGACCAGUGCUGAUGAGGCACAAAUAGAUUACAGCAUUUGCUGCGGUGAGUAUUUGCAUAUUUGUCACGUUGAUCACUAACUCAUGUUCGCGGUUUGGAUUACCGUUUGGGUGACUUUCAUUAAUGAGUCUUGUAUUUUGGAGUGUGGACAUGGUUCUUGAUAUAAUUCUCUCUUUGUACUAAACUCAGUGGGCCAUAAUGAAAUGCAUAACUUUUACAUUGAUAAAAAAAAAAAAAAUUAAAUUCCAAUAUAAUCGUAGCAAAUUAUAUAAAUGCUGACCAUUAGAAAAUAAAUAUUUCAAAACAAAGACUUGAUGGGUAUAUCAAAUAAGAAAAACCCAACAGCAAGAGUCGGCAAUUAAUAUUCUUCCAUCGUAAUUGCGUACAAAUGUGUUGUUCGGUUCCCACUCGUCUCAGAAUUUUUAAUUUUUUUUAAAAAAUUAUUAUUUAUUCUCGGUAUUAUAAAAAAAAAUUAAUUUUUUAAUUUUAAAAAAUAUAUUAAAAUGUAAUUAAAGUUUAAAAAAAUUUAUUAAGUCAAUUCCGUUAGUAUUAAUAGUUAAAUAUUCUAUUUAGUUCUUAUAAUUUAAAAAAAUAUAUUAAUUAAUUUUUUAAUAUUAUAAAAAAAUUUUACUAAUUAAUUUAUCUGUAUUAAAAUAAUAUUAAAUUUUUUAUAAUAUUUAACUUUAAAUUAAUGAAAUUAUUAAUUAAUAAAUUUUAAAAAUUUUAAAAAUAUUUUAAAUCUAUUUUAAUAUAUUUUUUAAAAUUAAUAAAUUUUUCUAUAAUAUAAAAAUUAAAUAUUAUUUUUUGAAAUUUUUAUAUAUAAUGAUUGUAUUGAAUAAUUUGGGUAUUGAUAUUAUUUAUGUUUUUAAAUCAUUAUAAAAAGAUGUAAAACAAGUUGCAUUUCUGCAGCUCAAAACAGAAAUUUGUGACUAAAAACAUUUUAUCAGAAUGAAAAUUUACGUUAUUUUAAUAUGAUUGUGGUAUAAAUAGAUAUAAGAGAGUUUAAUAUAUAAAAAUUUCAAUUAACACAAAACUAAUUAAUCAAAAUAAUUGAGUUAUAACUGAAGAUAAAUUCAAGUGGUUAAUUUUAAUUGUAAUUCUAAAAAUCAAACUAACAUCAUCUCUAAUAGAGUUAUAACAGAAAAUAAAUUCAAGUGAUUGUGAUUCCAAAACAAAACCAACAUUAUCUCUAACAUUCUCCUACAAGAUUAAGGAUCUAUCAUGGAGAUCAAUCUUGGACCUGUUAAUAUAGAAUUUCAUCUUUAUCAAUAGUUUUGUCAAUAAAUAAGCUAAUUGAUCUUUAGACAAAAUAUGAAAAACACGAAGAGCUCCUAGUUGAACCAAAUCACGAACAAAGUGAUCUAUUUCAAGAUGUUAAUGCCACGAUACAGACGAACAUAAUGACAGCAAGAAGACACUAAAUUUCGAAACGGCCUGACUUUAUAAAAAGACUAGUCAAAUAGGUCUUUGGCUAGAGUCUCCUUCAUGAAUUGAUCCUUUAUGAGAUAAAAUCGAGAAAAAAAUUUAAUCGAAAACUUGAUUAGAAUCACAAAAUUAAGAAAUAGAUAUAAGAUUUGUUUUGCCUUUUAGUACAAAAGGCACAUUAGAAAGAUAACAAAGCUUGGAUGGUAAAAGAAAAGUACCAGAACAGUAAUAAACAAACCUAAAUUGUCUGUGAGCUGCAAGCGGCUAUUGAGUCAACAAAGGUCGAAAAAAAUUCUUAACUUUGAAGUACGACACUAUAAAAAAACAGUGAAUUAGCGACCAAACUUUUGGUCGCUAAAAAGAAAGAUUUGGUCGCUAUUAUGCAGUAGCGACCAUUUAGCGACCAAAACGAAAUGGUCAGUGUUUGGCCAGUCGCUAAAGUUUUGGCGACAAUCUGAAAAUUGGUCGCUAAAUUAGUGACCAAUCAGCGACCAUUUUUUGGUCGCUAAUUUGGUGUCAUGGCAAAUUAAGUAUUAGAAAUAUUAGUCGCUGGGUGGAAAUAAAUUGGUCGUUAAAUUUUGGUCGCACAAUGGUCGCUAAUUUGGUCGCUAUUUCGUUGUUAUUUGAUCGCCUCAGGAAAGAGCAUUUAGUCGCUGUGUGGAAGUAAAUUGGUAGUUAAAUUUUGGUCGCGAAAUGGUCGCUAAUUUGAUCGCUAUUUCGUUGUUAUUUGAUCGCCUCAAGGAAGAGCAUUUAGUCGCUGUGUAGAAAUAAAUUGGUCGUUAAAUUUUGGUCGCGAAAUGGUCGCUGUUUUUUUGUUAUUUGAUCGCCUCAGGGAAGAGCAUUUAGUCGAUGUGUGGAAGUGAAUUAGUCGUUACAUUUUGGUCGCGAAAUGGUCGCUGUUUUAGUCGUUAAUUUGGUCGCACCAGGGAAGAGCAUUUAGUCGCUAUUUCGUCGCAAAUUAAUAGUAAAAUUAAAAAAAUAUUUAUUAUUUAAUUUAUUUUUGUGGAUGAUUUGUCACUAAUAAAUACAUUUAAAUCUAAUUCAUAUCAUUUUUUCAAUAAAUUCAUAAACCUACUAUAAUAUCAAUAUGUACACACACAUUCCAAUACAUAAAACAUCAAAGACAAUAUAUAGACAUCAACUUCAUUUCAUAAUUCUGCAAUCUAAAAGUCCAAAAUAUUACUAUAGUUCAACACUAAGAAACUUAAAAUAUCUCAAAAUAUAUAAUGGAUCCAAAUAGUAUCAAAUUCAUAUCAUAAAAUAUAUUAUUUAAGUCAGUGAGUAAUGACAUCAUGCUAAUCCAUAUGUGAAUCACCAAGGGAUCUAUGAGCUGGAGGACUAUCAGAUGAUGAUGGCAUCAAUGAGGAAGACUGCUGUCCCAUCUUCGCUGCCUGUAGUUCAUCACGCAUUUGAGCUAUCAUCUGAUUUUGAUCUUCUACAAGUUUCUGCAAACUAUUAUACUUCUCUUCAAACUUUGCUUCGAUUUCCUUCUUCCAUUCUAGUGAUUGGGAUGAUGGAACAUUUGUUGAUGUUUCUCCAAUUCCUAUUUGAGAGAAGGCAGAAGAGGCAGCACUACCUAAACCAUAAACUCGACUUCCUUGUCAUCCUCCUGCUGCAAUAAUGAACAAUUGAUCCUCAUUAAUA